CCAAUAGCGUAUAUUAAAGUUGUUGCAGUUAAAAAGCUCGUAGUUGAAUUUCGGGGUCAGUAGGUUGGUCGUGCCACUGGUAUGUACUGGCCUUACUGGUCCCUCCUUCUUGUAGAACCGUAAUGCCAUUAAGUUGGUGUUGCGGGGAAACAGGACUGUUACUUUGAAAACAUUAGAGUGUUUAAAGCAGGCUAACGCUUGAAUACAUUAGCAUGGAAUAAUGAAAUAGGACGAGCGAUCCUAUUUUGUUGGUUUCUAGGAUUGACGUAAUGAUUAAUAGGGCUAGUUGGGGGCAUUAGUAUUCAAUUGUCAGAGGUGAAAUUCUUGGAUUUAUUGAAGACUAACUACUGCGAAAGCAUUUGCCAAGGAUGUUUUCAUUAAUCAAGAACGAAAGUUAGGGGAUCGAAGACGAUCAGAUACCGUCGUAGUCUUAACCAUAAACUAUGCCGACUAGGGAUCGGAUGAUGUUAAUUUUAUAAUGACUCAUUCGGCGCCUUACG
Molecule: ribosomal RNA, 500 nt
Filed under: uncultured Glomeromycotina
Lineage: Eukaryota; Fungi; Glomeromycota
Description: partial small subunit ribosomal RNA
Rfam family: Eukaryotic small subunit ribosomal RNA
Source: RNAcentral